Molecule: long non-coding RNA, 1971 nt
Organism: Syngnathus typhle (broad-nosed pipefish)
Lineage: Eukaryota; Metazoa; Chordata; Actinopteri; Syngnathiformes; Syngnathidae
Exons: 3
Source: RefSeq, a predicted model, not a curated record
UUGUGAGCAGAGCAGGCACGUGAAAGGGGAGGCGAUAGCUAGUAAGCGGCUCCUGGCCUGGUGCUACUAUGGCUAGUGACGAGGACAUUUGCUCCCCCUUAGGCUUAAAAUCGUUCGUUUGGAGGCACUUCGGAUUCCAGAAAAAAGAUGGAUCAACGGACAAGAGGCGUGCUGUUUGCAAAUUCUGCCAUGCGGUGAUAAAAUACUCUGGGAACACCACAAAUCUCGCCGCACAUCUAAAAAAAAAACACGACAUCUCUCCCUCAAGCAGCGACCGCGAAAACAACACAGACACGACGCCCUCCGUGAACACAUUUUUCCCCCAAAUGCUAAGUAAAAACUCUAAACGAGCUAAAUCCAUCACUGCUGCAAUUUCAUAUCAUAUUUGUAAAGACUUGAGACAGUUUAGUAGCGUGGAGGGUGAGGGAUUUUCCGAGUUGAUGAAUACGCUAGAGCCCAGAUAUACAAUACCAUCGAGACAGUACUUUAGUGAAACACGUGUACCACGUCUAUAUACCUGUGUUAAAGCGGAGGUAUUACACGAACUAAAGGAAGCAGGACGGGUUGCUAUCACUGCAGAUGGAUGGACUUCUCGCUCAACUGAAGCCUACAUUAGGUCACUUGCCACUACAUUGAUACAGCAUGGACGAUAAAAAACUACGUGCUUCAGACUCGCGUUUUAAGUGACUCUCACACAGGACCGAACCUAGCCUCUGUCCUAAACGAAGCAUGUGAAGAAUGGCACAUUGCAGAUAAAAACCCAGCUCUUGUAACUGACAAUGCCAGGAACAUGACCGUAGCAGGAAUAGAGGCGCGUCUGUCACCGCACAUAAAAUGUUUUGGACAUACUAUCAACUUGGCAACUCAAAAAGGACUCAAAUGCAAUGAUGCUGCCUGUCUUUUAGGUAGAGUACGCCGUUUUGUGAGUUUUUUUCACCGCAGCACGCUGGCCAAUGUUGUGUUAAAAGAGAAGCAAAAACUACUUGAUCUCCCGCCACACAAACUCAUCCAAGAUGUCAUCACACGUUGGAACAGCUCGUUUGAUGUGGUGGAGCGUUUUUUUGGAGCAACAGGCUGCUGUGUGUGCUGCACAGCUUGACCAAAAAAUCAGAAAGUCCAUGAAGAAUGAUUUACAAACACUAAAUGAAGAUGACAUAUCCACAGCUGAAGAAAUUAUACAGUUACUGAGGCCUGUGAAAACUGCAACUACAAUAAUGUGUGAGGAGGCACAACCAACUAUCUCAGUCAUUGCUCUACUGAAAAGUAAAUUGAUUGAACAUUUCAGUGUCUGUGAGGAUGACAUGCCACUGAUCAAAGAAAUGAAACAAACAAUGGCCAAAGAGCUCAAGCAUCGUUACACAGAUGUCCAAGAAGUAUUAAACACUGCAGCUGCCCUUGAUGCAAGAUUCAAGACCCUGCCCUUUGUGUGCAAAGAGGAGGGAUGCCAUGUUCAAGAAUAUCAUAAAUGAGGCUGCACACUUGUGGGACCAAAAAGAAGACACACAGGCUCAUGAUGGCACUGCAAUGGAGGAAACUCACACAACACACCCAUCUGAAGAGGCAUGUGAUGAUGAGCUCCAUGCUUCAGAAUAUGUUCCUGUCUCAAAAAAAAACAAAGCAAUGGAGGAUCUGUUUGGGGACACAUACACUGCGAGCAGCAACUUCGUGAAAACAUCCAAGCAGCUGGCAGAGAUGGAAGUAUAUAGAUACAAAGAGACUGAAUUAUUAACACUCAAAGGUAAUCUGUUAGAAUGGUGGGGAAGUCAUGAAAUGGAGUUUCCCCUCCUUGCAAAUCUAGCCAAAACCUAUCUCUGUAUUCCUGCAACAAGCGUGCCCUCCGAGCGUGUAUUCAGCACUGCAGGUGACAUUGUCCGCUCAGAACGUAGUGUUUUGACACCUGAGCAUGUCGAUCACUUGAUUUUCUUGAAGAAGAACCUAACAAAGAACGCACUAAUAUUAAUAAUAAUAAAU